Molecule: ribosomal RNA, 207 nt
Filed under: uncultured bacterium
Lineage: Bacteria
Description: partial 16S ribosomal RNA
Rfam family: Bacterial small subunit ribosomal RNA
Source: RNAcentral
UGCGUAGGCGGAUAAGUAAGUCGGUGGUGAAAUCUUUCGGCUUAACCGGGAAACUGCCAUUGAUACUGUUUAUCUUGAGUUCGGUAGAGGUAGGCGGAAUGUGUAAUGUAGCGGUGAAAUGCUUAGAUAUUACACAGAACACCGAUUGCGUAGGCAGCUUACUAUGCCGCGACUGACGCUCAGGCACGAAAGCGUGGGUAGCGAACA